UACAGAGGGGGCAAGCGUUGUUCGGAAUUACUGGGCGUAAAGAGCUCGUAGGCGGUUUGUCGCGUCGGCUGUGAAAACUCGGGGCUCAACCCCGAGCCUGCAGUCGAUACGGGCAAACUAGAGUGUGGUAGGGGAGACUGGAAUUCCUGGUGUAGCGGUGAAAUGCGCAGAUAUCAGGAGGAACACCGAUGGCGAAGGCAGUUCUCUGGGCCUGCACUGACGCUCAUGCACGAAAGCGUGGGGAGCAAACAGG
This 253-nucleotide ribosomal RNA is filed under the name uncultured bacterium. RNAcentral's name for it is "partial 16S ribosomal RNA". It matches the Rfam family "Bacterial small subunit ribosomal RNA", at positions 524 to 776 of the family's 1533-position model. The record is from RNAcentral.